This is a long non-coding RNA of Manduca sexta (tobacco hornworm), 1521 nucleotides long. RefSeq lists it as uncharacterized. The record is from RefSeq and is a predicted model, not a curated record. NCBI's taxonomy places the organism in Eukaryota, Metazoa, Arthropoda, Insecta, Lepidoptera, Sphingidae. The transcript is spliced from 3 exons.
ACUGAUCCUCGCUUUAUUGGGGAAUUACGCAUCAUAAAUAAAUAUAUCUUACUUGGUAACAACGUGUUUCUUUUUAAUUAUAACUGUACACAUACUUUAACGUAGUUUUGGUAGAAUAUUUUAUAAAAAUACUUACUUUGCCUUCGACGUGGCGUGAGUGUAUAAAGUAUCAAGAUAAUAUACCUCAAUUUCUGGGUUCUAGACCUAAAACGAGGAUAACAGGAUAUAAGUAUGUCGUUGUCUAAAGGUAUAUUGCUGGGUGCUGCUGUUCUCGUGGCUGUGAUCACUGUCGUGGUGGAGUGGCUUCGAUUCCCGGAGGCGCCAGCGCCUCAUGAAGCGCGGGGCCAACGACCCAAGAGAGAUUAGUAAUAGAGACAUCAGCUUUGGCAGCCCUGUGCAGUCUUUGAAGAUCAUAAUUGUAAGCAAUAACACAUCAGUAAUAAGUGAAAUUUUAAUUGGAAGAAUGAAGACUGCCUGACGAACAAUAUGCGGAAUUGAUGCGGUCCUGAAGUUGAAGAAAGCAAUAAAAGUGACUGAAACAAACUGCGCUGUAAAAUUAUGCUCACGCCGUUCGCGUUAAUUACUGCAAUAUAGUAGCUGCCUAUGUUUGAUUUUAUUCAUAUCUAUAAGUAACAGCAAAUAAUGUGAAGGGAAGCCGUUCUGUGAAAACAACAUCAAAAUAUCGUCAUAUUUAAAAAAAUGCAAUGCACAACAGUAGACGCGUAGAGAGGAUAUAGUUCUUUCUCUUUCUUCCGCGCUCAUCGUUAUAACCGAUGACGUCAAGUGCCUGGACUUCGUCCCUUCUGUUUUGCUAGUUCAUGGUAAAUUGAGUAACUAUCGCAUGAGCACACAAUUAUUCUAUGACAAUCUUCCCAACGUCCACUCUUUAUAAUCUUAGAACUCUUUCCCCCUUAUUCAUAGACGUUAUUUAUCAAAGGACGGAGCAUUACUGUGAUAACAAUUCUGUUUCUCAGCUUUGUUUAUCUGACAGUUGUAUCUCAAUUAGCCAAUCACAACGGCCCUAUGUCUAGGCAUUGCGAAGGCUGCCAUGCCUUCAGCACUGAGAAACAGACUCACAGCAAUGCUCCGUCCUUAAAUAAAUAACUUCUAUGAAUAAGGGGGUUUGCUUGUAGCCAAUGUAAAUGCUUUGAAAUCAUUUGAAUUCUGCUUAUCAUGCACUAUGACUAAUCGUUUAAACUCCAUACUAAACAUACCAAUAAAUAUGUUUUUGAUUUUUUUUUUGUAAUUUUUGCAUAAUAUUUGAGACGACUAGAUGCUUCAGAGCUUAUGACGAGGUGAUACACUGAAUAAUAAAUUACAUAUGUAAUAAACUAAUAUUUAUAUUAAUUGACCAGAAAAACUAGAUUUGCCAUGUUGUAGUAAAAUAGUAAACUUAUUUUCUUAUACGAACAACGUCAAGUUAGACACGAAAACGCUAAAGUGACAGCUUAGGUUUUUUAUUCUCUGGUCAGUCUAUUAUUUCUAAAAUGUAUGUUCUUUAAUAAAUUUGUAUUUUUAAAA